GGGCAUUCUCCAAUCCUUUGAGGCCCUGAAUACAGCAAAAAGCAGAGAAAGGAGGAAUUCACUCCUUUUGCUCCUGUCUCACUGCUUAAGCAGGGACAUCUCUUCUGAACUAUGCCAUCAGCUUUCCUGAGUCUCCAGUUUAUAGGCAGCACAUCAUGGGACUUCUCAGCCUCCAUAAUCCCGAAUACAAAAUACAUCCACCAAAUGGAUACCAUGUACCUGAGGAUUCAUGAAUCUGCCCUAGCAACAGUCCUGCAUCUGGUUUUGAGCACACUUUUUGCAAAUGGAGCUACUACUUGACUGAGCUCGGGUAGUCCACCUUGAUACAGAACAGAGAGGGAGCUUGUGCAAAUUCACAGAGAAAACUGUGGAGCCAGAAAAGACAUACUGUUCUUUCCAAUAUGAUGUGGAAGUCUGAAAGAUUAGGAAUUGUUUGGUAAGAAAAAAAUAUACAUAGCUAUUUGUGGAUGACAAUGCCCUGACACUGUUCCUCCUUUCUGUCCUUGGUUGGGGGCCUGCCUCAUUUCUCAUUGAGGGGAAUUCCUUCAUCAGGACCUGCUACGCUAAUGGUCACGGACCAAUGUUCUUUUUGCUGUUUGAACAGAAUGCUUGCCUUGUGUAUGUCCAGUCACAAAGUUCCCUUGAUAAAAACCAUAUGAAAAUACCACAAAG
Molecule: long non-coding RNA, 672 nt
Filed under: Homo sapiens (human)
Lineage: Eukaryota; Metazoa; Chordata; Mammalia; Primates; Hominidae
Description: long non-coding RNA NONHSAT208613.1
Source: RNAcentral